UUUUUUUUUUUUUUUUUUUAACACUUUCUCGGUUUUUCUCCAACGGCAGAAACCUCUUUCAUUUGCAUCGCGUAGUCGCUCGGCUCUCAUUCAGCUAUCGGUGUGGGUGCAGUUCCUCAUGGUUUGAUGUGGGUGGAGAUACUUCUGGGCCAGGGGAGGUGGUGGAAUCUAAGAGCGGAUUAAGGUUCUCUUUCCUGAUCGUCCACCAGAGCGCCUCUUACUUUCCAUACUUCCCCUCCCUUUCUUGGCCCUGCCAACCUUUGAAAAACUGGUCACACUGCCAUCUCCUAGGGCGAUAUUUCCCUAUCGAUAGCUUUCAAUUGCAACACCACACAAAAAUUCGCGAGAAUGCCGGCCGAAGCGAAGUAUUUGUAAACAUAGAAAGAUUGGCUUGCCGUGAAAUUGUUCCUAUAUUGUUUUUAAUAAUCAAAACAACAACUUUGUUAUCCUGCCUUGCCCCCAAUUGCCCCAUUGGCCUUUUGUGCCCAACGUAGGCCUAAACCCACUAGACUUUUGUUUUGCUACCCAGGUCUUUUGCGUGAAAAAUCCCAACAGGCUUCCCCGCAGAUCCUCCAAUUUGUAGGAAUUGUUCCCUAUAGGGCGUACGACUCGGCAUUUCACAUAUUUUCGAGCAAACUUGGCAUUGUACAUCUUUCCAAAAUUGCUCUGAGUGAAAUUGCGUCUGUAGAUUUCUUGGCCAGGCUUAGCAUGGAAAACUCGAGCCCGUUUGUUAUAGCGCUGGCUGCUGCGUUCAUAUGCUUGAUGAAGAUUUUUCCGGAUGUGAUCGCGGAUAAGUUAUGGCAGUUAAGUGACCACGUGCACGUGUGAAACUACAUUUCAUUGUGACAUUUUGUAAGUGUAAUAUACCAAUCCUUUUUACCCUCUCCUCGCCACAUUCUCUAGAUCUAAUUUACAAUGACUUUUCAGUUGUGUGACCACGUAUGCUUGUGAAGCCAAUAAUGCUAAUUAAGUGAUCACGUCCACCUGUGAAACAACCCUUGAUCCACUCCUCCAUUUAAUUCAUUUAAAUUUCUUUUUGACCCACGAACCUUACCGUCAACUACUUAUCUAAGAUCCAUCGCUUCAUCCCUCUGCUCACCCCGUUUAAUAAUUCAGACGCAUACAGCUUUGAUGACACUUUUAUAACUACUACUACUCAAAUUUCUGAUAAUGGUUUAGGUUUUCCAACACCUAGUGUCUUGAGCUCUCUGUUUCUUAUUUAAAUAUUAAAAUUUAAAUUAGUGAAUUAGAUCCAUAACUAUUUUCCGUAAUGAUUUAAAUCCUUCAAUUUUCAUUUCAUCCAUAAAGGUUUUCCAAAAACACAUUCAGAUCAAUUUCACGGAAUGGCCUACAUUUGCUCUUGUAAAAUAACGUAUGGGGUCGCAUUUCCAAUAUGUUAGUAUAGCAGUGAAUCCGGUUAAUUGGAAAUGGUUUUUGUCCAAUUAUGAAUAAGUGGUUGACUUAUAAAUACAUAUUGUAAAAUGGUAAA
Long non-coding RNA from Drosophila elegans, 1489 nucleotides. RefSeq lists it as uncharacterized. The transcript is spliced from 2 exons. Lineage: Eukaryota; Metazoa; Arthropoda; Insecta; Diptera; Drosophilidae. The record is from RefSeq and is a predicted model, not a curated record.